This 484-nucleotide ribosomal RNA is filed under the name uncultured bacterium. Its description in RNAcentral is "partial 16S ribosomal RNA". It matches the Rfam family "Bacterial small subunit ribosomal RNA", at positions 29 to 507 of the family's 1533-position model. The record is from RNAcentral.
AUUGAACGCUGGCGGCAUGCUUUACACAUGCAAGUCGAACGGCAGCGCGGGCUUCGGCCUGGCGGCGAGUGGCGAACGGGUGAGUAAUACAUCGGAACGUGCCCAGUAGUGGGGGAUAGCUCGGCGAAAGCCGGAUUAAUACCGCAUACGACCUGAGGGUGAAAGCGGGGGAUCUUCGGACCUCGCCCUAUUGGAGCGGCCGAUGGCAGAUUAGCUAGUUGGUGGGGUAAAGGCCUACCAAGGCGACGAUCUGUAGCUGGUCUGAGAGGACGACCAGCCACACUGGAACUGAGACACGGCCCAGACUCCUACGGGAGGCAGCAGUGGGGAAUUUUGGACAAUGGGCGAAAGCCUGAUCCAGCAAUGCCGCGUGUGUGAUGAAGGCCUUCGGGUUGUAAAGCACUUUUGGCGGGAACGAAAAGGACUGUGCCAAUACCACGGUUCGAUGACGGUACCCGCAGAAUAAGCACCGGCUAACUACGUG